This 497-nucleotide ribosomal RNA is filed under the name uncultured bacterium. Its description in RNAcentral is "partial 16S ribosomal RNA". It matches the Rfam family "Bacterial small subunit ribosomal RNA", at positions 28 to 507 of the family's 1533-position model. The record is from RNAcentral.
GACGAACGCUGGCGGCGUGCCUAAUACAUGCAAGUUGAGCGCGGAAGUCUGGUCCUUGUGCCCACUGGUUGAGCAGCGAACGGGUGCGUCACGCGUGGGGAAUCUGCCUUUGAGCGGGGGACACCAUUUGGAAACGAAUGCUAAUACCGCAUAAAAUCUUUACACACAAUUUUUAAGUUUGAAAGAAGCAAUUUCAUCACUCAAAGAUGAUCCCGCGUUGUAUUAGCUAGUUGGUGAGGUAAAGGCUCACCAAGGCGAUGAUACAUAGCCGACCUGAGAGGGGGAGCGGCCAAAAUGGGACGGGGACACGGCCAAAAAUCCUGCGAGAGGGAGCAGGAGGGGACCUUUGGCAAUGGAAGAAAGGGGGAACGAGGAACGACGCGCGAGAGAAGAAGGUUGUAGGAUCGCAAAACUCAGGUGGGAGAGAAGGUUGUUGGGGAGAGUGGAACGAGCAUCAAGUGACGGUAACGAGACAGAAAGGGACGGCUAACUACGUG